Molecule: long non-coding RNA, 384 nt
Filed under: Mytilus galloprovincialis (Mediterranean mussel)
Lineage: Eukaryota; Metazoa; Mollusca; Bivalvia; Mytilida; Mytilidae
Source: RNAcentral
GUUCUGUUUUCAUCUAUAGUCUUUUUCAGAAAAGUUCUAAUUGUUUUGGGUAGGUCUCAAUUACAAUUUUACACUCUAGCAUUCGGCAUCAGUUAAAAGCUUCUGGAAUAAAGUGGUGGCUAUGGUGUACUGUUUUGUGCUUGUGCGUAUGUGUGUUUGUGUUAGGCGUUAUUACACUUCUUUCAUGUAUUUGUCUUAAGGGGUCGAGUAAAGCAGAUAAGUUACAUCAGCUUUCUGCUUCAUUUGAGUUCUGGCAUAAUGUUAUACACCAUAUCGAUCUUAGAAACAAAUGCCUUUACGAGUAGAAGGACGAAUGCUGUUGGGCAUUUUUUAUGCAUACCACAACUUGAAACAGUGUAUUCUUGACAGCACAAUUAAUGUUUU